UUCUUGCAAACUAAAAGAAUGGCGACCGGCGCACGGGUGAGUAACACGUAUCCAACCUGCCGAUAACUCGGGGAUAGCCUUUCGAAAGAAAGAUUAAUAUCCGAUAGUAUAUUAAAACCGCAUGGUUUUACUAUUAAAGAAUUUCGGUUAUCGAUGGGGAUGCGUUCCAUUAGUUUGUUGGCGGGGUAACGGCCCACCAAGACUACGAUGGAUAGGGGUUCUGAGAGGAAGGUCCCCCACAUUGGAACUGAGACACGGUCCAA
Molecule: ribosomal RNA, 263 nt
Filed under: uncultured bacterium
Lineage: Bacteria
Description: partial 16S ribosomal RNA
Rfam family: Bacterial small subunit ribosomal RNA
Source: RNAcentral